AUUGAACGCUGGCGGCAUGCUUUACACAUGCAAGUCGAACGGCAGCGCGGGCUUCGGCCUGGCGGCGAGUGGCGAACGGGUGAGUAAUGCAUCGGAACGUGCCCAGUAGUGGGGGAUAGCCCGGCGAAAGCCGGAUUAAUACCGCAUACGACCUGAGGGUGAACGCGGGGGACCGAAAGGCCUCGCGCUCUUGGAGCGGCCGAUGUCGGAUUAGCUAGUUGGGGGGGUAAAGGCUUACCAAGGCGACGAUCCGUAGCUGGUCUGAGAGGACGACCAGCCACACUGGAACUGAGACACGGCCCAGACUCCUACGGGAGGCAGCAGUGGGGAAUUUUGGACAAUGGGGGCAAGCCUGAUCCAGCCAUGCCGCGUGCGGGAAGAAGGCCUUCGGGUUGUAAACCGCUUUUGUUCGGGAAGAAAUCCUCUGGGCUAAUACCCCGGGGGGAUGACGGUACCGGAAGAAUAAGCACCGGCUAACUACGUG
This 484-nucleotide ribosomal RNA is filed under the name uncultured bacterium. RNAcentral describes it as "partial 16S ribosomal RNA". It matches the Rfam family "Bacterial small subunit ribosomal RNA", at positions 28 to 507 of the family's 1533-position model. The record is from RNAcentral.